This 1346-nucleotide ribosomal RNA is filed under the name metagenome. RNAcentral describes it as "bacterial LSU rRNA". It matches the Rfam family "Bacterial large subunit ribosomal RNA", at positions 1564 to 2925 of the family's 2925-position model. The record is from RNAcentral.
UGAGUACGAGCGGCUACGGCCGCGAAGUGGAUGAUGUCAAGCAUCCAAGAAAAGCCCUAUACCCGUUAAGGCAUGAUGGCCUGUACCCGAAACCGACACAGGUGGGGUGGUAGAGAAUACCGAGGGGCGCGAGGUAACUCUCUCUAAGGAACUCGGCAAAAUGGCCCCGUAACUUCGGGAGAAGGGGUGCCACCGCGGGGUGGUCGCAGUGAAGAGGCCCAGGCGACUGUUUACCAAAAACACAGGUCUCCGCUAAGUCGCAAGACGAUGUAUGGGGGCUGACGCCUGCCCAGUGCCGGAAGGUUAAGGAAGCUGGUCAGCGCAAGCGAAGCUGGCGACUGAAGCCCCGGUGAACGGCGGCCGUAACGAUAACGGUCCUAGGGUAGCGAAAUUCCUUGUCGGGUAAGUUCCGACCCGCACGAAAGGCGUAACGAUCUGGGCGCUGUCUCGGAGAGAGGCUCGGCGAAAUAGAAUUGUCUGUGAAGAUGCGGACUACGUGCACCCGGACAGAAAGACCCUAUGAAGCUUUACUGUAGCUUGGUAUUGUGCUCGGGCUCGGAAUGCGCAGGAUAGGUGGGAGGCUUUGAUCCAUUGCUUGCGGGUGAUGGUGAGCCACUGGUGAGAUACCACUCUUUCCGAGCUAGAGUUCUAACAGCAACCCGUUAUCCGGGUGCUGGACAGUAUCAGGUGGGCAGUUUGACUGGGGCGGUCGCCUCCUAAAAGGUAACGGAGGCGCGCAAAGGUCUGCUCAGGCUGGUUGGAAAUCAGCCGACGAGUGUAAAAGCAGAAGCAGGCUUGACUGUGAGACCUACAAGUCGAACAGGGAGGAAACUCGGCUUUAGUGAUCCGACGGUUCUGCGUGGAAGGGCCGUCGCUCAACGGAUAAAAGUUACUCUAGGAUAACAGGCUGAUCUCCCCCAAGAGUUCACAUCGACGGGGAGGUUUGGCACCUCGAUGUCGGCUCAUCGCAACCUGGGGCUGAAGUCGGUCCCAAGGGUUGGGCUGUUCGCCAUUAAAGCGGUACGCGAGCUGGGUUCAGAACGUCGUGAGACAGUUCGGUCCAUAUCCGGUGCACGCGCAGGAAUAUUGAGAGGAUUUCUCCCUAGUACGAGAGGACCGGGAGGAACGCACCUCUGGUGUGCCAGUUAUCGUGCCAACGGUAAACGCUGGGUAGCCAUGUGCGGAGUGGAUAACCGCUGAAAGCAUCUAAGUGGGAAGCCCACCUCAAGAUGAGUAUUCCCAUGGCAUAAGCCAGUAAGGUCACGGGAAGAACACCCGUUGAUAGGCUCUACGUGGAAGCGCAGUAAUGUGUGAAGCGGAGGAGUACUAAUAGACCGAGGGCUUGA